RNAcentral lists this ribosomal RNA (253 nucleotides) under uncultured bacterium. RNAcentral's name for it is "partial 16S ribosomal RNA". It matches the Rfam family "Bacterial small subunit ribosomal RNA", at positions 524 to 776 of the family's 1533-position model. The record is from RNAcentral.
UACGAAGGGGGCGAGCGUUGUUCGGAUUUACUGGGCGUAAAGGGCGCGCAGGCGGUUCUGUUUGUCGAGUGUGAAAGCCCCGGGCUCAACCUGGGAACUGCGCUCGAAACGGCGGAACUAGAGUUCGGGAGAGGAGAGUGGAAUUCCCAGUGUAGAGGUGAAAUUCGUAGAUAUUCGCAAGAACACCAGUGGCGAAGGCGGCUCACUGGCCCGGUACUGACGCUGAGGUGCGAAAGCGUGGGGAGCAAACAGG